Molecule: small nucleolar RNA, 117 nt
Organism: Fukomys damarensis (Damara mole-rat)
Lineage: Eukaryota; Metazoa; Chordata; Mammalia; Rodentia; Bathyergidae
Source: Ensembl
UGUCUUGUUUUGUCUAAUUGUAGAUUGACUUAUAGAAAGGUACAAAAAAUAAAUCCUCUUUUGCAACCCCAAAUUCAUUGUUUAGCAUGAGCUUUGAUACAUAUAAGAUGGAAUAUU